AAGUACUGUAUAACAAAACUAUAACAUUCGACUAUGUAUAUAUCGACAAUCACAAAAAGCUAACACAUGUGUCUUGCGUGCUAAAGAACCAGUGCAUGUUGGCAGUAUCUACUAUUGCUAAUCGCUAGUACAUGCCCGCUGUAGUGUGGUAAUUUUAGACACACUUGGGUCAAUUUAUUUAUUUGCGGAUCGUUCUGAUAAAUCACACCCUACUUGACGUCAUUUGGUAAAGAAAAUAGGCCUGUAAUUAAUUGAGCCUCGCAAUUCAUAUUUUUAAACCAUCACAGGAAACAUCCGAUCGGGUUCCCUCUGCAUAUACACGACGGCAGCAUGGCGGAA
Long non-coding RNA from Priapulus caudatus, 339 nucleotides. RefSeq lists it as uncharacterized. NCBI's taxonomy places the organism in Eukaryota, Metazoa, Priapulida, Priapulimorpha, Priapulimorphida, Priapulidae. The record is from RefSeq and is a predicted model, not a curated record. The transcript has 2 exons.